RNAcentral lists this long non-coding RNA (523 nucleotides) under Coturnix japonica (Japanese quail). RNAcentral describes it as "lncRNA (ENSCJPG00005003321.1)". The record is from RNAcentral. Lineage: Eukaryota; Metazoa; Chordata; Aves; Galliformes; Phasianidae.
CUUCCUGAUAAAGAGGACUUGACUCUAAACCUAGAAAUGCAUAUAUGGUUCAGUACUGACUGUGUGCAAUGCAUGUGAAGCACCUGCACCAAGUCAUGGAGCCGAUUACAAAUGUGCUGACUUCAGAGGCUUUGGGACAGUUUCAGAGAGUUGAAGUCAUUCCUUUAUGUUUCUGCAACGUUCAGAAGAGCAAGGAGGGAGCUGUGAGUCAUGCAUAAUGAAUUCCUGGUACAGAGCAGGACUCCAAGGUGGAAUGCUCUCAAAGGCCCUUCUAAGGAUCAUUACUGCUGCACAUUUUACUGAAGUCCAAAAGGAAGGAGUGGAAGUCAGAAGCCAAAGUGAUUCUGCUAGUGUCUGCAGAUGUUUCUACAAGAAUAAGAGAAAGUGCCAGAGAGGCAGCGGUGGAAACAAGGAAGAGUACGUCUGGCUUUCUGAAGGGAAUCUUUGUUUUUUCUUCAAUAAUUAUUUGCAUAAGUGCCGGCCUCAGAGUGGGUUUAAUGCCUUAAAACAGAAUUUCAGGUGA